ACGGGUGAGUAACGCGUGGGAACGUGCCUUCUGGUUCGGAAUAACUCAGGGAAACUUGAGCUAAUACCGGAUACGCCCUUUUGGGGAAAGGUUUACUGCCGGAAGAUCGGCCCGCGUCUGAUUAGCUAGUUGGUGGGGUAACGGCCUACCAAGGCGACGAUCAGUAGCUGGUCUGAGAGGAUGAUCAGCCACACUGGGACUGAGACACGGCCCAGACUCCUACGGGAGGCAGCAGUGGGGAAUAUUGGACAAUGGGCGCAAGCCUGAUCCAGCCAUGCCGCGUGAGUGAUAAAGGCCUUAGGGUUGUAAAGCUCUUUUAUCCGGGACGAUAAUGACGGUACCGGAGGAAUAAGCCCCGGCUAACUUCGUGCCAGCAGCCGCGGUAAUACGAAGGGGGCUAGCGUUGCUCGGAAUCACUGGGCGUAAAGGGCGCGUAGGCGGUCUUUUAAGUCGGGGGUGAAAGCCUGUGGCUCAACCACAGAAUUGCCUUCGAUACUGGGAGACUUGAGUUCGGAAGAGGUUGGUGGAACUGCGAGUGUAGAGGUGAAAUUCGUAGA
RNAcentral lists this ribosomal RNA (557 nucleotides) under uncultured bacterium. Its description in RNAcentral is "bacterial SSU rRNA". It matches the Rfam family "Bacterial small subunit ribosomal RNA", at positions 102 to 694 of the family's 1533-position model. The record is from RNAcentral.